UUAAUACUUCCUCCGUCCGAAAAUACUUGUCAUCAAAAUGGAUAAAAGAAGAUGUAUCUAGAACUAAAAUAUAUCUAGGUACAUUCCCUUUUAUCCAUUUUGAUGACAAGUUUUUCCGGACGGAGGGAGUAUUAC
Non-coding RNA from Triticum aestivum (bread wheat), 135 nucleotides. Lineage: Eukaryota; Viridiplantae; Streptophyta; Magnoliopsida; Poales; Poaceae. The record is from Rfam.